CAACACCGAUAGUGGCGCACGGGUGCGUAACGCGUAACCAACCUACCCAGAACUGGGGGAUAGCCCGCCGAAAGGCGGAUUAAUACCGCAUAAGGCUUCGGUCCGGCAUCGGGCGGAAGUUAAAGAUUCAUUGGUUUUGGAUGGGGUUGCGUGCCAUUAGCUAGUUGGAGGGGUAACGGCCCACCAAGGCGACGAUGGCUAGGGGAGCUGAGAGGCUGGUCCCCCACACGGGCACUGAGAUACGGGCCCG
This 250-nucleotide ribosomal RNA is filed under the name uncultured bacterium. RNAcentral's name for it is "partial 16S ribosomal RNA". It matches the Rfam family "Bacterial small subunit ribosomal RNA", at positions 84 to 334 of the family's 1533-position model. The record is from RNAcentral.